RNAcentral lists this ribosomal RNA (460 nucleotides) under uncultured bacterium. RNAcentral describes it as "partial 16S ribosomal RNA". It matches the Rfam family "Bacterial small subunit ribosomal RNA", at positions 338 to 795 of the family's 1533-position model. The record is from RNAcentral.
CCUACGGGUGGCAGCAGUGAGGAAUAUUGGUCAAUGGACGAGAGUCUGAACCAGCCAAGUAGCGUGAAGGAUGACUGCCCUAUGGGUUGUAAACUUCUUUUAUAUGGGAAUAAAACGUUCCACGUGUGGGAUUUUGUAUGUACCAUAUGAAUAAGAAUCGGCUAACUCCGUGCCAGCAGCCGCGGUAAUACGGAGGAUCCGAGCGUUAUCCGGAUUUAUUGGGUUUAAAGGGAGCGUAGGUGGAUUGUUAAGUCAGUUGUGAAAGUUUGCGGCUCAACCGUAAAAUUGCAGUUGAAACUGGCAGUCUUGAGUACAGUAGAGGUGAGCGGAAUUCGUGGUGUAGCGGUGAAAUGCUUAGAUAUCACGAAGAACUCCGAUGGCGAAGGCAGUUCACUGGACUGCAACUGACACUGAGGCUCGAAAGUGUGGGUAUCAAACAGGAUUAGAUACCCGUGUAGUC